AUGAACGCUGGCGGCGUGCCUCAUACAUGCAAGUCGCACGAAACUUCUUUAUCACCGAGUGCUUGCACUCACCGAUAAAGAGUUGAGUGGCGAACGGGUGAGUAACACGUGGGCAACCUGCCCAAAAGAGGGGGAUAACACUUGGAAACAGGUGCUAAUACCGCAUAACCAUAGUUACCGCAUGGUAACUAUGUAAAAGGUGGCUAUACUACCGCUUUUGGAUGGGCCCGCGGCGCAUUAGCUAGUUGGUAGGGUAAAGGCUUACCAAGGCAAUGAUGCGUAGCCGAAUUGAGAGGUUGAUCGGCCACAUUGGGACUGAGACACGGCCCAAACUCCUACGGGAGGCAGCAGUAGGGAAUCUUCCACAAUGGGCGAAAGCCUGAUGGAGCAACGCCGCGUGGGUGAAGAAGGUCUUCGGAUCGUAAAACCCUGUUGUUAGAGAAAAAAGUGCGUGAGAGUAACUGUUCACGUUUCGACGGUAUCUAACCAGAAAGCCACGGCUAACUACGUG
Molecule: ribosomal RNA, 511 nt
Filed under: uncultured bacterium
Lineage: Bacteria
Description: partial 16S ribosomal RNA
Rfam family: Bacterial small subunit ribosomal RNA
Source: RNAcentral